Saimiri boliviensis boliviensis (Bolivian squirrel monkey) is the source of this 1478-nucleotide non-coding RNA. The record is from RefSeq and is a predicted model, not a curated record. NCBI's taxonomy places the organism in Eukaryota, Metazoa, Chordata, Mammalia, Primates, Cebidae.
GGCGGCGGCGGCGGCAGAAGCGGCGCGGGCUGUACCCGCCCCACCUGCCUGCCACCUGGGGGCCCCGGCGGCGGACGGCGACGGGUCUGAGGCGGGGCUCCCCUCCGGUAGCCAAUCGACCGGCCGCCCUGGCGGGGGCGUGGCAAACCUCGACCAAUCGAAGUCCGGGAAAGGGGAGGGACUUCCCUUUUAAACUUCGUAACACCCUUCCUCUCUCCGCUGAGGAAAAGUUUGGGAACUUUAGCCCGGGAAGGGGCGUGGAGAGGGAGACGCGCAGGCCGGGCUCCGGGCCACCGGCGCCCGCCCACCGGGACCGUGGACUUUAGGGUCUAGAGAGAGCAUGGGGUCCCACCUCUGCCGCCUCUCGUCUUCCCCGACUCCCGUCCUCUUCCCACCCACGCGCUCUUUCCCAAGUGAAGUUCCUUCCCUUCCGUCUGGUCUCAGAAAUGACUCUUGGUUACCUGGACACAGACCAGCUUUCAGAAGUCCCUUCUCUACACGCCUCAAGAAUUCCAGAAACAAACAGUCUCGAAGGAAUAAGGACAGUGAGCAGUGGAAUGGACAACCCCCUCAACUAUAAGAAAUGUCUUUGCUGGGUGUCCAGAGAGUUCAUUCCUCCAGCAAGUGUUGGUUGCCAGAUGAUGUGUGAGAUGAUACUGAGAAAUCAGCAUGGAACAAGUAAACACACAAAGGGAGAUGGGCAAUGAAGAAACAGCACUUUUGGAAAUUUGAGGACCUAUAAGAAGAUACGAAAUAGCCGAUAUUCUUCAGUCUUACAAUUCCAAAAUAUCAACUUGGUCUGCCUGAUUUAUGAAAUACUCAAUGUGAUUCUGAGAGUAUGAAGAAUUUCUCAAUUAAUAAUUUCUCAGUCUUUCUACCAGCAAAGGGAUUCGCUGGUCCAGUGAUUGCCAGUAUCUAAGCCACCAAAUAGCAAAUGCUUGAUUCAUGUUCCUAAGCUAUAGAAGGAUUGGCCAAAACAUUUCCUCCCCAGAGCACCACAUCUCACCCUUUUCUGUGUGUAUACCCCACAGCACAAAGUACUGCUAUUACUAUUACUACACAAUGACUAAAGUUUCCACUGAGCUAAGUUCUUUACAUGUAUUUCUUUUACUAUUCCCAGCAAAGAAAUGAGCAAAAUAGACUACUAUUAUCCAAGUUUUAUGAAUGAUGACGCUGAAGCUUCCAAAUGCUACAUUAUAUCAAUAUUAAAGACCAUGCAGUUAUCCAUGAAAUGCAAAGGACAGAUAAUUAACUAUUAUCAAUCACGCCAUGUCGUUAUGAGUGGAGUUGUUUAAAUAAGUGUCAUAUGAAAACCCAGUAAGGUAUUUAUGCUUGUAAAUAAUUUGCCCAUAUUAAAAAAAAAAAAAGACUUGAUUGAAAUGAUUUAUACCUAUAAUGAUUCACUAUAGAAAGUUAAAAGAGGCUAAGUACAGUGGCUGACACUUGUAAUCCCAGCACUUUUGGAGGCCAAGGUCAGG